Molecule: ribosomal RNA, 253 nt
Filed under: uncultured bacterium
Lineage: Bacteria
Description: partial 16S ribosomal RNA
Rfam family: Bacterial small subunit ribosomal RNA
Source: RNAcentral
UACGAAGGGGGCUAGCGUUGUUCGGAUUUACUGGGCGUAAAGCGCACGUAGGCGGAUCGUUAAGUCGGGGGUGAAAUCCUGGAGCUCAACUCCAGAACUGCCUUCGAUACUGGCGAUCUUGAGUCCGGAAGAGGUGAGUGGAACUCCUAGUGUAGAGGUGGAAUUCGUAGAUAUUCGCAAGAACACCAGUGGCGAAGGCGGCCAACUGGUCCGGAACUGACGCUGAGGUGCGAAAGCGUGGGGAGCAAACAGG